UUUAUGUUAACACAGAGAGAAAAUGAACUCUUUUAACCUACUCUUUGAGGAUCAAUGGAUAAUGGCUGAAUUAAAGUGGAAUAGCUCUGCCCUGCUUUGCUGUUGCUGCUGAACUCUUCGUUGGCUGGGGCUCCAAUGAUGCAGUCUUCAGAGAUUAGAGGGGAGCAGACACCAGAUCCUGGUGGAGAAACAAAAUGUAAACCCAUCCAGAAAAAGUGGAUUGGAUUAAUUAGGAUGCCAACACUGAUGUGGUUUUUGCCCAAGUUAGCAUUCUUCUUCACAUAAAAGGAAGGUUUUGCAACAAAUGAACAACAAAUUACUAUGGGGGGAAAACCCAACAACCUCUGCAAAUAGCAAACUUAGAGUGUUGAUCCUUAUGUUGUCAAAGCACACUCAACAAGCAAACUGCAGUCUCCAGAGAAGCCCAAGGUUUGCAGAAAUACUUAUGUCCAAGUUCCAAAGAAUGCUAAUUGUCUGAUGUGAGAAUAGAAUGAGAUAUAACUGGGUGGCUUCCUGAAGAAAGAAAUAUGAUACUACCACCUUUGGAUUCAGAUCCCACUUAGAGGAAGGCUGUAGGAGAGAGGAUUGCAAGCAAGAGACUCCAGGUUCAAUCUGAAUAGGUGUGCUUAGUGAAAGUCCAUUGUGUGAACAAGGACUUGAAAGAGUUAAGAUUCAAGCCACAUGGAGCUUUCCGAUGGAGCAUUCCCUUGGACUGUAUACCAAAGCAAUUAGAAGACAGAAGCACUUUUUUUUUGCCUAAGCUGGGUAAUAUGGCCCCAACACCUAACACAUGCUAAAGCAGAGCAAGCUGCACCUGCUGUGGCUUCCAAGAAGUCUUCAAGAGUGGCACUACACGCAGCACAUUGCGGUAAUAUUAUCUGACUUUUUGCAGAAUGAAAAAAGGCCUGAAUGUGAAGGAAACUUGUAAUCAUUCCACCAGGUGCAAAUGGAGGGGAGCUUUUGGCCUCAAUAGGCAACCAUUUCCCACCUUGAGACCAAUUCUGAAGGCUGUAAUCCAGAAUCCCUUGUAAAUGCAAUACACUUUUGCAGAUGCGAUUAUACAAAACCCAUAGGACAUGAUCCCCAACCUUAGAUGACAAUGGACUGGAAAUCGAUUUCAUGU
Long non-coding RNA from Sceloporus undulatus (fence lizard), 1123 nucleotides. RefSeq lists it as uncharacterized. The transcript is spliced from 4 exons. NCBI's taxonomy places the organism in Eukaryota, Metazoa, Chordata, Lepidosauria, Squamata, Phrynosomatidae. The record is from RefSeq and is a predicted model, not a curated record.